RNAcentral lists this ribosomal RNA (506 nucleotides) under uncultured bacterium. Its description in RNAcentral is "partial 16S ribosomal RNA". It matches the Rfam family "Bacterial small subunit ribosomal RNA", at positions 29 to 523 of the family's 1533-position model. The record is from RNAcentral.
AGUGAACGCUGGCGGUAGGCCUAACACAUGCAAGUCGAACGGCAGCACAGGAGAGCUUGCUCUCUGGGUGGCGAGUGGCGGACGGGUGAGGAAUACAUCGGAAUCUACUCUGUCGUGGGGGAUAACGUAGGGAAACUUACGCUAAUACCGCAUACGACCCACGGGUGAAAGCAGGGGACCUUCGGGCCUUGCGCGAUGGAAUGAGCCGAUGUCGGAUUAGCUAGUUGGCGGGGUAAAGGCCCACCAAGGCGACGAUCCGUAGCUGGUCUGAGAGGAUGAUCAGCCACACUGGAACUGAGACACGGUCCAGACUCCUACGGGAGGCAGCAGUGGGGAAUAUUGGACAAUGGGCGCAAGCCUGAUCCAGCCAUACCGCGUGGGUGAAGAAGGCCUUCGGGUUGUAAAGCCCUUUUGUUGGGAAAGAAAUCCAGCUGGCUAAUACCCGGUUGGGAUGACGGUACCCAAAGAAUAAGCACCGGCUAACUUCGUGCCAGCCGCCGCCGUAA